This 338-nucleotide long non-coding RNA is filed under the name Gossypium barbadense (sea-island cotton). Its description in RNAcentral is "long non-coding RNA (GBAR_LNC019219)". Lineage: Eukaryota; Viridiplantae; Streptophyta; Magnoliopsida; Malvales; Malvaceae. The record is from RNAcentral.
ACGAAAUAGUGAAGAAAGUUGGAGAAGCUUGUGAGAGAUGGGGUUUCUUUCAAGUUAUCAACCAUGGGAUUCCGCUGACGACUUUAGAUGAAAUGAUUGACGGAAUUCGAAGGUUUCAUGAACAAGAUAAGGAAGCUAAGAAAGAGUUUUAUUCUCGAGAUAACAGCAGGAAAGUGAUUUAUAAUAGUAAUUUCGAUCUUUAUGUGGCGGAAGCAGCCAAUUGGAGGGAUACUUUGAGGUGUGUUACAGAGAUCUUUGCUACGCAAUCAUAUCUGACGCUAACUCAAUCUGCAGAGAUAUAAUGAUAGAGUAUUCGAAUAGAGUGAUGAAAUUAGGAC